UACGGAGGGUGCAAGCGUUGUUCGGAUUUAUUGGGCGUAAAGCGCGUGUAGGCGGUCUUUUAAGUCUGAUGUGAAAGCCCCGGGCUCAACCCGGGAAGUGCAUUGGAUACUGGGAGACUUGAAUACGGGAGAGGGUAGUGGAAUUCCUAGUGUAGGAGUGAAAUCCGUAGAUAUUAGGAGGAACACCGGUGGCGAAGGCGGCUACCUGGACCGAUAUUGACGCUGAGACGCGAAAGCGUGGGGAGCAAAC
This 250-nucleotide ribosomal RNA is filed under the name uncultured bacterium. RNAcentral describes it as "partial 16S ribosomal RNA". It matches the Rfam family "Bacterial small subunit ribosomal RNA", at positions 524 to 773 of the family's 1533-position model. The record is from RNAcentral.